GGAGCAACGCCGCGUGAGGGACGAAGGCCUCUGGGCUGUAAACCUCUUUUCUCAAGGAAGAAGAUAUGACGGUACUUGAGGAAUAAGCCACGGCUAAUUCCGUGCCAGCAGCCGCGGUAAUACGGGAGUGGCAAGCGUUAUCCGGAAUUAUUGGGCGUAAAGCGUCCGCAGGCGGCUUUUCAAGUCUGCUGUUAAAACGUGGAGCUUAACUCCAUCAUGGCAGUGGAAACUGAAAGGCUUGAGUAUGGUAGGGGCAGAGGGAAUUCCCGGUGUAGCGGUGAAAUGCGUAGAUAUCGGGAAGAACACCAGUGGCGAAGGCGCUCUGCUGGGCCAUUACUGACGCUCAUGGACGAAAGCCAGGGGAGCGAAAGGGAUUAGAUACCCCUGUAGUCCUGGCCGUAAACGAUGAACACUAGGUGUCGGGGGAAUCGACCCCUUCGGUGUCGUAGCUAACGCGUUAAGUGUUCCGCCUGGGGAGUACGCACGCAAGUGUGAAACUCAAAGGAAUUGACGGGGGCCCGCACAAGCGGUGGAGUAUGUGGUUUAAUUCGAUGCAACGCGAAGAACCUUACCAGGGUUUGACAUCCUGCGAACCUCUUAGAAAUUUGAGGGUGCCUUCGGGAAUGCAGUGACAGGUGGUGCAUGGCUGUCGUCAGCUCGUGUCGUGAGAUGUUGGGUUAAGUCCCGCAACGAGCGCAACCCACGUUUUUAGUUGCCAGCAUUUAGUUGGGCACUCUAGAAAGACCGCCGGUGAUAAACCGGAGGAAGGUGUGGAUGACGUCAAGUCAUCAUGCCCCUUACACCCUGGGCUACACACGUACUACAAUGCUACGGACAAAGGGCAGCAAACUCGCGAGAGCUAGCAAAUCCCAUAAACCGUGGCUCAGUUCAGAUCGUAGGCUGCAACUCGCCUACGUGAAGUAGGAAUCGCUAGUAAUCGCA
Molecule: ribosomal RNA, 942 nt
Filed under: marine metagenome
Description: bacterial SSU rRNA
Rfam family: Bacterial small subunit ribosomal RNA
Source: RNAcentral